AGUAUUAUAUUAUUUGGAUUAUAUCUGGCACAUGUUAGAGACAAAUGAACUUAAAUUUUUCAAUUCAAUCGGUAGAGUUUUGAUGGCAUUUAUACUGAAAACAAGUACGAAUGUCUGUCCAAAGGCCAAAAAGCUGAAAAAGAAUCAUUUGAAGCUGUCCAAGAGAAAAGCAACGUUUUUGAAAACAAACGAAAUCUGAGGAGAAAACGAGAAAAAUCAGUUAAACUGAAAGAUUUUGUGGUCACUCCACUCUUGUUUCCUAAAAGAAAACCCAAAUCAAGCGUCGUACAGAGUUUAGCAGAUACGGUUUCCAAGGAGAAGAAAAAUAUUGUGGCAGAACAAAAAAAGACACAAGAAGACACCACAGCUCUAUUAGCAGAGCCAACAAAUGAUGUUGAAAUGGACAGUUGUGGUGAAAAACUCAAACCAACGAUAGUGCUUGAG
Long non-coding RNA from Actinia tenebrosa (Australian red waratah sea anemone), 444 nucleotides. Lineage: Eukaryota; Metazoa; Cnidaria; Anthozoa; Actiniaria; Actiniidae. The record is from RefSeq and is a predicted model, not a curated record.